CCAUACAUAUAAAAUUCAUUUAUAUCAUAUUUCAUAUUUUUAAAUUCAUGCCAUAAUAAAAUCAUUUUUGAAUUUAUACCAUACAUAAAAUCUCUUUCAUACCAUAUUAAAAUAAUGGCUAAUUUGACAUUAAGCUUAAAUCAAACCCAAAAGGUGAAUUGGUCAACUUGACUAGGUUGACCGGCUCAAAUCUGAUAAAUUGUAAAGAAGUCCUCCAAAUUAUUGUUGUGGCACUUGCAUCCAAUUUGGUACAAUUUGAACAAUUUGACCGAAUGGUUAUCUUUGAUCAAAUCCGGUUCGACUUGAGCUACUUUAAAUUCAACUACAACCUAAAAUUGCUAAGUAACAAAUUAAAUCCAAAAUUUGUUUGUUAUCAUCAAAAUUUAUUAGUGAAUAAAAUCCAACAGUUU
RNAcentral lists this long non-coding RNA (410 nucleotides) under Ananas comosus (pineapple). Its description in RNAcentral is "long non-coding RNA (ACOM_LNC005657)". The record is from RNAcentral. Lineage: Eukaryota; Viridiplantae; Streptophyta; Magnoliopsida; Poales; Bromeliaceae.